RNAcentral lists this ribosomal RNA (840 nucleotides) under Schizochytrium aggregatum. RNAcentral describes it as "partial Bacterial large subunit ribosomal RNA". It matches the Rfam family "Bacterial large subunit ribosomal RNA", at positions 980 to 1818 of the family's 2925-position model. Lineage: Eukaryota; Bigyra; Thraustochytrida; Thraustochytriidae. The record is from RNAcentral.
GCAGUAAGGGGGCGGGUGCUAAGGUCCGUCCCCGAGAGGAGAAGAAUCCAGACCGCCGUCUAAGGUCCCGAAAUUCUGUCUAAGUUAGUCUAACGAAGUCUGGUCCCCGUGACAGCUAGGAUGUUGGCUUGGAAGCAGCCAUUCAUUCAAAGAGUGCGUAACAGCUCACUAGUCGAGGGUCCGGGCAUGGAUAAUAAUCGGGUAUAAGUCAGAUACCGAAGGCGCGGGAUAGUAAUGUAAAUUAAAAGUAUCGGUAGGGGAGCAUUCCAUCGGCGUUGAAUGGUGAGGGUAACCGAUCCUGGAGCUUAUGGAAAAGCAAAUGUAGGUAUAAGUAACGAUAAAAAGGGUGAGAUUCCCUUUCGCCGAAAGACCGAGGUUUCCCGGGCGAUGCCAAUCAGCCCGGGGUUAGUCGGGUCCUAAGUCUCAGCCGAACGGCGAAGGCGAUGGCAGAUGCGGUUAAUAUUCCGCAACUCGCAUAUACAGUGAUGUGGAGACGGAGCAGUGACACUGCCGCGCCCUGACGGAAUAGGGCGUUUAAGUGCGUAGGCUAUGAGGAAGGCAGGCAAAUCCACCUUCCGAGCUGAACCAUGAAAGUACAGGUAAUCCUUCGGGAUAACUUGAGUGCAGGUAAUCAUACUUCCGAGAAAAUCCGCUAAACUUAAUGUAUAUGCGACCCGUACCGCAAACGGACACACGUGGUCGGGUAGAAUAUACUAAGGCGUUGAGAGAUUCAUGGUUAAGGAACUAGGCAAAUUGACCCCGUAACUUCGGGAUAAGGGGUCCUCAUAGCAAUAUGAGGCGCAGAGAAUCGGUCCAGGCAACUGUUUAACAAAAACACAG